GCGCCUGUAGCUCAGCUGGAUAGAGUACCUGGCUACGAACCAGGCGGUCGGAGGUUCGAAUCCUUCCGGGCGCG
This 74-nucleotide transfer RNA is filed under the name Gammaproteobacteria bacterium. RNAcentral describes it as "tRNA-Arg". It matches the Rfam family "tRNA". Rfam says of the family: Transfer RNA (tRNA) molecules are approximately 80 nucleotides in length. Lineage: Bacteria; Pseudomonadati; Pseudomonadota; Gammaproteobacteria. The record is from RNAcentral.